Molecule: ribosomal RNA, 1596 nt
Filed under: Escherichia coli
Lineage: Bacteria; Pseudomonadati; Pseudomonadota; Gammaproteobacteria; Enterobacterales; Enterobacteriaceae
Description: partial 23S ribosomal RNA
Rfam family: Bacterial large subunit ribosomal RNA
Source: RNAcentral
AGACCCGAAACCCGGUGAUCUAGCCAUGGGCAGGUUGAAGGUUGGGUAACACUAACUGGAGGACCGAACCGACUAAUGUUGAAAAAUUAGCGGAUGACUUGUGGCUGGGGGUGAAAGGCCAAUCAAACCGGGAGAUAGCUGGUUCUCCCCGAAAGCUAUUUAGGUAGCGCCUCGUGAAUUCAUCUCCGGGGGUAGAGCACUGUUUCGGCAAGGGGGUCAUCCCGACUUACCAACCCGAUGCAAACUGCGAAUACCGGAGAAUGUUAUCACGGGAGACACACGGCGGGUGCUAACGUCCGUCGUGAAGAGGGAAACAACCCAGACCGCCAGCUAAGGUCCCAAAGUCAUGGUUAAGUGGGAAACGAUGUGGGAAGGCCCAGACAGCCAGGAUGUUGGCUUAGAAGCAGCCAUCAUUUAAAGAAAGCGUAAUAGCUCACUGGUCGAGUCGGCCUGCGCGGAAGAUGUAACGGGGCUAAACCAUGCACCGAAGCUGCGGCAGCGACACUGUGUGUUGUUGGGUAGGGGAGCGUUCUGUAAGCCUGUGAAGGUGUGCUGUGAGGCAUGCUGGAGGUAUCAGAAGUGCGAAUGCUGACAUAAGUAACGAUAAAGCGGGUGAAAAGCCCGCUCGCCGGAAGACCAAGGGUUCCUGUCCAACGUUAAUCGGGGCAGGGUGAGUCGACCCCUAAGGCGAGGCCGAAAGGCGUAGUCGAUGGGAAACAGGUUAAUAUUCCUGUACUUGGUGUUACUGCGAAGGGGGGACGGAGAAGGCUAUGUUGGCCGGGCGACGGUUGUCCCGGUUUAAGCGUGUAGGCUGGUUUUCCAGGCAAAUCCGGAAAAUCAAGGCUGAGGCGUGAUGACGAGGCACUACGGUGCUGAAGCAACAAAUGCCCUGCUUCCAGGAAAAGCCUCUAAGCAUCAGGUAACAUCAAAUCGUACCCCAAACCGACACAGGUGGUCAGGUAGAGAAUACCAAGGCGCUUGAGAGAACUCGGGUGAAGGAACUAGGCAAAAUGGUGCCGUAACUUCGGGAGAAGGCACGCUGAUAUGUAGGUGAAGUCCCUCGCGGAUGGAGCUGAAAUCAGUCGAAGAUACCAGCUGGCUGCAACUGUUUAUUAAAAACACAGCACUGUGCAAACACGAAAGUGGACGUAUACGGUGUGACGCCUGCCCGGUGCCGGAAGGUUAAUUGAUGGGGUCAGCGCAAGCGAAGCUCUUGAUCGAAGCCCCGGUAAACGGCGGCCGUAACUAUAACGGUCCUAAGGUAGCGAAAUUCCUUGUCGGGUAAGUUCCGACCUGCACGAAUGGCGUAAUGAUGGCCAGGCUGUCUCCACCCGAGACUCAGUGAAAUUGAACUCGCUGUGAAGAUGCAGUGUACCCGCGGCAAGACGGAAAGACCCCGUGAACCUUUACUAUAGCUUGACACUGAACAUUGAGCCUUGAUGUGUAGGAUAGGUGGGAGGCUUUGAAGUGUGGACGCCAGUCUGCAUGGAGCCGACCUUGAAAUACCACCCUUUAAUGUUUGAUGUUCUAACGUGGACCCGUGAUCCGGGUUGCGGACAGUGUCUGGUGGGUAGUUUGACUGGGGCGGUCUCCUCC